RNAcentral lists this ribosomal RNA (253 nucleotides) under uncultured bacterium. RNAcentral describes it as "partial 16S ribosomal RNA". It matches the Rfam family "Bacterial small subunit ribosomal RNA", at positions 524 to 776 of the family's 1533-position model. The record is from RNAcentral.
GACGUAGGGGGCCAGCGUUGUUCGGAAUUACUGGGUGUAAAGGGUUCGUAGGCGGUGUAGCAAGUCGGGAGUGAAAUCUCUGGGCUUAACCCAGAGGCUGCUUCCGAAACUGCUGUGCUUGAGUGUGGGAGAGGCGCGUGGAAUUGCAGGUGUAGCGGUGAAAUGCGUAGAUAUCAGGAGGAACACCGGCGGUGUAGACGGCUAUCUGGACAGUAACUGACGCUGAGACACGAAAGCGUGGGGAGCAAACAGG